This 519-nucleotide ribosomal RNA is filed under the name Tulasnella cumulopuntioides. RNAcentral describes it as "eukaryotic LSU rRNA". It matches the Rfam family "Eukaryotic large subunit ribosomal RNA", at positions 78 to 541 of the family's 3401-position model. The record is from RNAcentral. Lineage: Eukaryota; Fungi; Basidiomycota; Agaricomycetes; Cantharellales; Tulasnellaceae.
CCUCAGUAACUGCGAGUGAAGCGGGAUCGGCUCAAUGUGUGAAUCUGGCUUGGGGUAGUUCCCUGGUCCGAGUUGUGCACUAUGGACGUUUCGUCUGCGUUUGUAAUGGCGGUGGAAGUCCGUUGAAACACGGCACCUCAGAGGGUCACAGUCCUGUACCACCUGCCUGCACUCGCGCCAAUGACAAGCGCUCCUCGAGUCGCGUAGUUUUGUAAUGCUGCGCCAAGUGGGAGGUAGAGACCUUCUAAGGCUAAAUAUGAUGACGUGACCGAUAGCACACAAGUACCGCGAGGGAAAGGUGAAAAGCAACCAUGAAAAAUGGGUUGAAACAGUAGUGAAAGCGCUACCGGGAUAAGGGCUAUCGGGUGCUGGGGCUUCUCGGGUGUGCUUCAGUGCUACCCUUGGAGACGGCCCGCGUGGGUUGAUUGGGGCGAUAGACGCGCUGUAGGAAUUCGGCUGCCUUCGGGCAGUGUUGUAGCCUGCGGUUGCUGAUCCUCCUGCGACCUUUUGUAAUUGCGG